CGGGACACGUGGUAUCCUGUCUGAAUAUGGGGGGACCAUCCUCCAAGGCUAAAUACUCCUGACUGACCGAUAGUGAACCAGUACCGUGAGGGAAAGGCGAAAAGAACCCCGGCGAGGGGAGUGAAAAAGAACCUGAAACCGUGUACGUACAAGCAGUGGGAGCCUCUUAAUGGGGUGACUGCGUACCUUUUGUAUAAUGGGUCAGCGACUUAUAUUCUGUAGCAAGGUUAACCGAAUAGGGGAGCCGAAGGGAAACCGAGUCUUAACUGGGCGUUAAGUUGCAGGGUAUAGACCCGAAACCCGGUGAUCUAGCCAUGGGCAGGUUGAAGGUUGGGUAACACUAACUGGAGGACCGAACCGACUAAUGUUGAAAAAUUAGCGGAUGACUUGUGGCUGGGGGUGAAAGGCCAAUCAAACCGGGAGAUAGCUGGUUCUCCCCGAAAGCUAUUUAGGUAGCGCCUCGUGAAUUCAUCUCCGGGGGUAGAGCACUGUUUCGGCAAGGGGGUCAUCCCGACUUACCAACCCGAUGCAAACUGCGAAUACCGGAGAAUGUUAUCACGGGAGACACACGGCGGGUGCUAACGUCCGUCGUGAAGAGGGAAACAACCCAGACCGCCAGCUAAGGUCCCAAAGUCAUGGUUAAGUGGGAAACGAUGUGGGAAGGCCCAGACAGCCAGGAUGUUGGCUUAGAAGCAGCCAUCAUUUAAAGAAAGCGUAAUAGCUCACUGGUCGAGUCGGCCUGCGCGGAAGAUGUAACGGGGCUAAACCAUGCACCGAAGCUGCGGCAGCGACACUAUGUGUUGUUGGGUAGGGGAGCGUUCUGUAAGCCUGUGAAGGUGUGCUGUGAGGCAUGCUGGAGGUAUCAGAAGUGCGAAUGCUGACAUAAGUAACGAUAAAGCGGGUGAAAAGCCCGCUCGCCGGAAGACCAAGGGUUCCUGUCCAACGUUAAUCGGGGCAGGGUGAGUCGACCCCUAAGGCGAGGCCGAAAGGCGUAGUCGAUGGGAAACAGGUUAAUAUUCCUGUACUUGGUGUUACUGCGAAGGGGGGACGGAGAAGGCUAUGUUGGCCGGGCGACGGUUGUCCCGGUUUAAGCGUGUAGGCUGGUUUUCCAGGCAAAUCCGGAAAACCAAGGCUGAGGCGUGAUGACGAGGCACUACGGUGCUGAAGCGACAAAUGCCCUGCUUCCAGGAAAAGCCUCUAAGCAUCAGGUAACAUCAAAUCGUACCCCAAACCGACACAGGUGGUCAGGUAGAGAAUACCAAGGCGCUUGAGAGAACUCGGGUGAAGGAACUAGGCAAAAUGGUGCCGUAACUUCGGGAGAAGGCACGCUGAUAUGUAGGUGAAGCGACUUGCUCGUGGAGCUGAAAUCAGUCGAAGAUACCAGCUGGCUGCAACUGUUUAUUAAAAACACAGCACUGUGCAAACACGAAAGUGGACGUAUACGGUGUGACGCCUGCCCGGUGCCGGAAGGUUAAUUGAUGGGGUUAGCGGUAACGCGAAGCUCUUGAUCGAAGCCCCGGUAAACGGCGGCCGUAACUAUAACGGUCCUAAGGUAGCGAAAUUCCUUGUCGGGUAAGUUCCGACCUGCACGAAUGGCGUAAUGAUGGCCAGGCUGUCUCCACCCGAGACUCAGUGAAAUUGAACUCGCUGUGAAGAUGCAGUGUACCCGCGGCAAGACGGAAAGACCCCGUGAACCUUUACUAUAGCUUGACACUGAACAUUGAGCCUUGAUGUGUAGGAUAGGUGGGAGGCUUUGAAGUGUGGACGCCAGUCUGCAUGGAGCCGACCUUGAAAUACCACCCUUUAAUGUUUGAUGUUCUAACGUUGGCCCGUAAUCCGGGUUGCGGACAGUGUCUGGUGGGUAGUUUGACUGGGGCGGUCUCCUCCUAAAGAGUAACGGAGGAGCACGAAGGUUGGCUAAUCCUGGUCGGACAUCAGGAGGUUAGUGCAAUGGCAUAAGCCAGCUUGACUGCGAGCGUGACGGCGCGAGCAGGUGCGAAAGCAGGUCAUAGUGAUCCGGUGGUUCUGAAUGGAAGGGCCAUCGCUCAACGGAUAAAAGGUACUCCGGGGAUAACAGGCUGAUACCGCCCAAGAGUUCAUAUCGACGGCGGUGUUUGGCACCUCGAUGUCGGCUCAUCACAUCCUGGGGCUGAAGUAGGUCCCAAGGGUAUGGCUGUUCGCCAUUUAAAGUGGUACGCGAGCUGGGUUUAGAACGUCGUGAGACAGUUCGGUCCCUAUCUGCCGUGGGCGCUGGAGAACUGAGGGGGGCUGCUCCUAGUACGAGAGGACCGGAGUGGACGCAUCACUGGUGUUCGGGUUGUCAUGCCAAUGGCACUGCCCGGUAGCUAAAUGCGGAAGAGAUAAGUGCUGAAAGCAUCUAAGCACGAAACUUGCCCCGAGAUGAGUUCUCCCUGAGACUUAGAGUCUCCUGAAGGAACGUUGAAGACGACGACGUUGAUAGGCCGGGUGUGUAAGCGCAGCGAUGCGUUGAGCUAACCGGUACUAAUGAACCGUGAGGCUUAACCUU
This 2527-nucleotide ribosomal RNA is filed under the name Escherichia coli. RNAcentral describes it as "partial 23S ribosomal RNA". It matches the Rfam family "Bacterial large subunit ribosomal RNA", at positions 418 to 2925 of the family's 2925-position model. Lineage: Bacteria; Pseudomonadati; Pseudomonadota; Gammaproteobacteria; Enterobacterales; Enterobacteriaceae. The record is from RNAcentral.